UGGGGAAUCUUGGACAAUGGGGGAAACCCUGAUCCAGCGACGCCGCGUGGGUGAUGAAGGCCUUCGGGUCGUAAAGCCCUGUCGGGGGGGAAGAAACUCCUGCCGGUAAACAAUCGGCGGGAUUGACGGUACCCCCUAAGGAAGCACCGGCUAACUCUGUGCCAGCAGCCGCGGUAAGACAGAGGGUGCAAGCGUUGUUCGGAAUUACUGGGCGUAAAGGGCGCGUAGGCGGCCUCCUAAGUUCCGUGUGAAAUCCCCCGGCUCAACUGGGGAACUGCGCGGAAUACUGGGAGGCUAGAGUACCGGAGAGGAGGGUGGAAUUCCUGGUGUAGCGGUGAAAUGCGUAGAUAUCAGGAGGAACACCGGUGGCGAAGGCGGCCCUCUGGACGAGUACUGACGCUGAGGCGCGAAAGCGUGGGGAUCAAACAGGAUUAGAUACCCCCGUAGUCC
This 450-nucleotide ribosomal RNA is filed under the name uncultured bacterium. RNAcentral's name for it is "bacterial SSU rRNA". It matches the Rfam family "Bacterial small subunit ribosomal RNA", at positions 355 to 796 of the family's 1533-position model. The record is from RNAcentral.